UGCUGGAGGUAUCAGAAGUGCGAAUGCUGACAUGAGUAACGAUAAAGGGAGUGAAAAACUCCCUCGCCGGAAGACCAAGGGUUCCUGUCCAACGUUAAUCGGGGCAGGGUAAGUCGACUCCUAAGGCGAGGCCGAAAGGCGUAGUCGAUGGGAAACGGGUUAAUAUUCCCGUACUUCUUACAAUUGCGAUGGGGGGACGGAGAAGGCUAGGUGGGCCUGGCGACGGUUGUCCAGGUUCAAGUAUGUAGGCGGAAAGUUUAGGUAAAUCCGGACUUUCUUAACGCUGAGAUACGAUGUCGAGCUACUACGGUAGUGAAGUCAUUGAUGCCAUGCUUCCAGGAAAAGCCUCUAAGCUUCAGAUUGUAAGGAAUCGUACCCCAAACCGACACAGGUGGUCGGGUAGAGAAUACCAAGGCGCUUGAGAGAACUCGGGUGAAGGAACUAGGCAAAAUGGUACCGUAACUUCGGGAGAAGGUACGCUCUUAUCAGUGAAGUCCCUUGCGGAUGGAGCAGACGAGAGUCGCAGAUACCAGGUGGCUGCAACUGUUUAUUAAAAACACAGCACUGUGCAAAAUCGUAAGAUGACGUAUACGGUGUGACGCCUGCCCGGUGCCGGAAGGUUAAUUGAUGGGGUUAGACUUCGGUCGAAGCUCUUGAUCGAAGCCCCGGUAAACGGCGGCCGUAACUAUAACGGUCCUAAGGUAGCGAAAUUCCUUGUCGGGUAAGUUCCGACCUGCACGAAUGGCGUAAUGAUGGCCACGCUGUCUCCACCCGAGACUCAGUGAAAUUGAAAUCGCUGUGAAGAUGCAGUGUACCCGCGGCUAGACGGAAAGACCCCGUGAACCUUUACUACAGCUUGGCACUGAACAUUGAACCUACAUGUGUAGGAUAGGUGGGAGACUAUGAAAUUGCGUCGCUAGAUGUGAUGGAGUCGUCCUUGAAAUACCACCCUUGUAGUUUUGAUGUUCUAACGUUGGUCCCUGAAUCGGGAUUACGGACAGUGCCUGGUGGGUAGUUUGACUGGGGCGGUCUCCUCCCAAAGAGUAACGGAGGAGCACGAAGGUGGGCUAAACACGGUUGGACAUCGUGUGGUUAGUGCAAUGGCAUAAGCCCGCUUGACUGCGAGAAUGACAAUUCGAGCAGGUGCGAAAGCAGGUCAUAGUGAUCCGGUGGUUCUGAAUGGAAGGGCCAUCGCUCAACGGAUAAAAGGUACUCCGGGGAUAACAGGCUGAUACCGCCCAAGAGUUCAUAUCGACGGCGGUGUUUGGCACCUCGAUGUCGGCUCAUCACAUCCUGGGGCUGAAGUCGGUCCCAAGGGUAUGGCUGUUCGCCAUUUAAAGUGGUACGCGAGCUGGGUUUAGAACGUCGUGAGACAGUUCGGUCCCUAUCUGCCGUGGGCGUUGGAAAAUUGAAAGGGGCUGCUCCUAGUACGAGAGGACCGGAGUGGACGAACCUCUGGUGUUCGGGUUGUCAUGCCAAUGGCAUUGCCCGGUAGCUAAGUUCGGAAUCGAUAACCGCUGAAAGCAUCUAAGCGGGAAGCGAGCCUUGAGAUGAGUUUUCCCUGGCACUAUAAGUGUCCUAAAGGGUUGUCGUAGACUACGACGUUGAUAGGCAGGGUGUGUAAGUGCUGCGAGGCAUUGAGCUAACCUGUACUAAUUGCCCGUGAGGCUUAACCAU
Molecule: ribosomal RNA, 1677 nt
Filed under: Vibrio splendidus
Lineage: Bacteria; Pseudomonadati; Pseudomonadota; Gammaproteobacteria; Vibrionales; Vibrionaceae
Description: partial 23S ribosomal RNA
Rfam family: Bacterial large subunit ribosomal RNA
Source: RNAcentral